CCUACGGGAGGCAGCAGUGAGGAAUAUUGGUCAAUGGGCGCGAGCCUGAACCAGCCAAGUAGCGUGAAGGAUGACUGCCCUACGGGUGGUAAACUUCUUUUAUAAAGGAAUAAAGUGAGGCACGUGUGCCUUGUUGUAUGUACUUUAUGAAUAAGGAUCGGCUAACUCCGUGCCAGCAGCCGCGGUAAUACGGAGGAUCCGAGCGUUAUCCGGAAUUAUUGGGGUUAAAGGGGGCGGAGGGGGGUUGUUAAGUCAGUUGUGAAAGUUUGCGGCUCAACCGUAAAAUUGCAAUUGAUACUGGCAGCCUUGAGUACAGUAGAGGUAGGCGGAAUUCGUGGUGUAGCGGUGAAAUGCUUAGAUAUCACGAAGAACUCCGAUUGCGAAGGCAGCUUACUAAACUGCCACUGACAUUGAUGCUCGAAAGUGUGGGUAUCAAACAGGAUUAGAUACCCGGGUAGUC
This 460-nucleotide ribosomal RNA is filed under the name uncultured bacterium. RNAcentral describes it as "partial 16S ribosomal RNA". It matches the Rfam family "Bacterial small subunit ribosomal RNA", at positions 338 to 795 of the family's 1533-position model. The record is from RNAcentral.